AAUAUGCGAGUUCUUAUACUCCCAUAAUGUCUUAGACUCUGCACUGUGGAUUGAGGAUAACACCGUAAACAAGAGACCUGGUCCCUGCCCUUCUGGAGUCUACUAUCUCACAGUCCCUGAAUUUGGCUGCCUAUUCCCCAGACCCCCUCAACCAAGACUCUGUGGCAGGAUCUAUUCAACUCUCACAAAGAGUCGGUGGAGGAGCACAAGACCCGAUGGAAAGGACCAACUGGC
This 234-nucleotide long non-coding RNA is filed under the name Mustela putorius furo (domestic ferret). RNAcentral describes it as "lncRNA (ENSMPUG00000029270.1)". The record is from RNAcentral. Lineage: Eukaryota; Metazoa; Chordata; Mammalia; Carnivora; Mustelidae.